RNAcentral lists this ribosomal RNA (501 nucleotides) under uncultured bacterium. RNAcentral's name for it is "partial 16S ribosomal RNA". It matches the Rfam family "Bacterial small subunit ribosomal RNA", at positions 30 to 523 of the family's 1533-position model. The record is from RNAcentral.
AUUGAACGCUAGCGAGAUGCCUUACACAUGCAAGUCGAACGGCAGCGCGGACUUCGGUCUGGCGGCGAGUGGCGAACGGGUGAGUAAUGUAUCGGAACGUGCCCAGUAGCGGGGGAUAACUACUCGAAAGAGUAGCUAAUACCGCAUACGCCCUCCGGGGGAAAGGGGGGGGAUCGCAAGACCUCUCACUAUUGGAGCGGCCGAUAUCGGAUUAGCUAGUUGGUGAGGUAAAGGCUCACCAAGGCGACGAUCCGUAGCUGGUUUGAGAGGACGACCAGCCACCCUGGGACUGAGACACGGCCCAGACUCCUACGGGAGGCAGCAGUGGGGAAUUUUGGACAAUGGGGGCAACCCUGAUCCAGCCAUUCCGCGUGUGCGAUGAAGGCCUUCGGGUUGUAAAGCACUUUUGGCAGGAAAGAAAUCGCACGGAUUAAUACUCUGUGUGGAUGACGGUACCUGCAGAAUAAGCACCGGCUAACUACGUGCCAGCCGCCGCGGUAA